CCAGCCGUAAACGAUGGGUACUAGGUGUUGGUGGAGUCAUUCAUCAGUGCCGGAGUUAACACAUUAAGUAUCCCGCCUGGGGAGUACGGCCGCAAGGUUGAAACUCAAAGGAAUUGACGGGGGCCCGCACAAGCAGUGGAGCAUGUGGUUUAAUUCGAAGCAACGCGAAGAACCUUACCGGGGCUUGACAUCUGGCGGAUUUGGUAGAAAUACCGAAGUGCCGCAAGGCAACGCCAAGACAGGUGG
This 246-nucleotide ribosomal RNA is filed under the name uncultured Clostridia bacterium. Its description in RNAcentral is "partial 16S ribosomal RNA". It matches the Rfam family "Bacterial small subunit ribosomal RNA", at positions 796 to 1041 of the family's 1533-position model. The record is from RNAcentral. Lineage: Bacteria; Bacillati; Bacillota; Clostridia.